This 779-nucleotide ribosomal RNA is filed under the name uncultured Pseudomonadaceae bacterium. RNAcentral describes it as "SSU rRNA". It matches the Rfam family "Bacterial small subunit ribosomal RNA", at positions 91 to 866 of the family's 1533-position model. The record is from RNAcentral. Lineage: Bacteria; Pseudomonadati; Pseudomonadota; Gammaproteobacteria; Pseudomonadales; Pseudomonadaceae.
UUCAGCGGCGGACGGGUGAGUAAUGCCUAAGAAUCUGCCUGGUAGUGGGGGAUAACGUCCGGAAACGGGCGCUAAUACCGCAUACGUCCUGAGGGAGAAAGUGGGGGAUCUUCGGACCUCACGCUAUCAGAUGAGCCUAGGUCGGAUUAGCUAGUUGGUGGGGUAAAGGCCUACCAAGGCGACGAUCCGUAACUGGUCUGAGAGGAUGAUCAGUCACACUGGAACUGAGACACGGUCCAGACUCCUACGGGAGGCAGCAGUGGGGAAUAUUGGACAAUGGGCGAAAGCCUGAUCCAGCCAUGCCGCGUGUGUGAAGAAGGUCUUCGGAUUGUAAAGCACUUUAAGUUGGGAGGAAGGGCAGUAAGGUAAUACCUUGCUGUUUUGACGUUACCAACAGAAUAAGCACCGGCUAACUUCGUGCCAGCAGCCGCGGUAAUACGAAGGGUGCAAGCGUUAAUCGGAAUUACUGGGCGUAAAGCGCGCGUAGGUGGUUCAGCAAGUUGGAUGUGAAAUCCCCGGGCUCAACCUGGGAACUGCAUCCAAAACUACUGAGCUAGAGUACGGUAGAGGGUGGUGGAAUUUCCUGUGUAGCGGUGAAAUGCGUAGAUAUAGGAAGGAACACCAGUGGCGAAGGCGACCACCUGGACUGAUACUGACACUGAGGUGCGAAAGCGUGGGGAGCAAACAGGAUUAGAUAUCCUGGUAGUCCACGCCGUAAACGAUGUCGACUAGCCGUUGGGAUCCUUGAGAUCUUAGUGGCGCAGCUAACGCGAUAAGUC